RNAcentral lists this long non-coding RNA (935 nucleotides) under Felis catus (domestic cat). RNAcentral describes it as "lncRNA (ENSFCAG00000049021.1)". The record is from RNAcentral. Lineage: Eukaryota; Metazoa; Chordata; Mammalia; Carnivora; Felidae.
GACAGUGUUGUACUCUGUGUCUUACCUCCUAGAAUGAUGAAUUUGUUAUUAAGGAGAAUCUCUUCUUGGACCACAAGCAUUCCCUGAAAUAUAAUCCUGCAAUGUGGACACUGGAGAUUAUAUUGUGGAAAGUUUCCUGAUUCAGCUGCCGGUCACACUUGUCAGAGAGGAAGUCUAAAGCAGGAGAAGCAGACUAGCAAGUGGAUUACUAGGUCUUGGACCUUACCUGGUCUUCUGCUGCCACAGGUGGAAAAGAAAAAUUCAGAAGAGAGAAGGUUUUGUCUACUUUCUAUGACUGAAAGGAGCACUUACAAAGGGAUGCAAAAAUAAUCUAAGCAUUUGUUUAAAUACCUUACACAUAUACCUGACAAUAUUCAUAGCACACUUGUGUGCAAGGUCAGUACUAAGCAAAGGGAGAAGAGGUGAUGGAAUCUGAGGAAAAUGACACCAAAGCCCUCCCACCAGAUGCACUGACAUAUAAGCAACUUCUCUGGGUGAAGACCCUGAAGCCCUGAGUUUAACUAUGUUUUGUAUGAAGGAUGGUCAAGCCCUCAUAUGAUUACCACUAAUUAACAACUUGGUUCAUUACACUAGCAUGUUACCUAUUUGGACCCUCAGGGAAUAAUCAGAGAAUUGAAUGUAUUUAGAUUUCAAGAAACUGGCAAGUCAAGAACACGGGGUGCUACAGAAAGAGAAGUCCCACCUUGGUGUCACAGUGGGAUAAGGAUUUCUGGGCAACCAGAAGAUCGCAUGAGGACCUUGGAUCUUCUACCGGGUGGAUACCCGGUAUUGGAAGUGCUAAAGUAAUGGAUAGGAAUUUGAGCUGAAAGGAAACCUUUCUUAUUUUAGGAUUUGGUUAUGCUUGAGUAGAGGCUGUAAGCCUGGGACAUUUGGGUUGUCCACCCAUACUGUUGGUUGGCUGUUCUCAAAGUUGA